This 190-nucleotide unclassified non-coding RNA is filed under the name uncultured Chaetothyriales. RNAcentral describes it as "sequence contains ITS1". Lineage: Eukaryota; Fungi; Ascomycota; Eurotiomycetes; Chaetothyriales. The record is from RNAcentral.
ACGAGUUAGGGUCUCACAGGCCCGACCUCCCAACCCUAUGUUUAAUUACCUUCUGUUGCUUCGGCGGGCCCGUCCGUAAGGACCGCCGGGGGACCGUAAAACGUCCUCUGGCCCGCGCCCGUCGGUGGCCUCAACUAAAUUCUUGAAUAAUCAUGUUCUUGUCUGAGUUCAAAUCUUGAAUUACAAGUAA